GACGGGGGGGGCAAGUGUUCUUCGGAAUUACUGGGCGUAAAGGGCUCGUAGGUGGCCAACUAAGUCAUACGUGAAAUCCCUCGGCUUAACCGGGGAACUGCGUCUGAUACUGGAUGGCUUGAGAUUGGGAGAGGGAUGCGGAAUUCCAGGUGUAGCGGUGAAAUGCGUAGAUAUCUGGAGGAACACCGGUGGCGAAGGCGGCAUCCUGGACCAACACUGACACUGAGGAGCGAAAGCCAGGGGAGCAAACGGG
RNAcentral lists this ribosomal RNA (253 nucleotides) under uncultured bacterium. Its description in RNAcentral is "partial 16S ribosomal RNA". It matches the Rfam family "Bacterial small subunit ribosomal RNA", at positions 524 to 776 of the family's 1533-position model. The record is from RNAcentral.